UGGGCUCUGAGGCUCUGACAUGUAGGGCUUUCAGCCAACUGUGCUGAGGGAUGACAUACAUGUAGGGAGGAUGGAGGAGAGUCUUAAAACAUCAGUGUGUCAGCAGCUUUCUCUCUCUCUCUCCACGGUGGGCUGUCAUACAUGAACAACAUCUCCCUACAGCAUGCUGCACUGCAGAUAGCUGCCGGAGAAAGCAACGCUGGAGGAAAAAACUGGAAAGCAUGAGGGACUUUUAUGAAGGCGUGCGCUCCUCAAAGCCAGGAUUCAAUAAUUGCUUUCCUCUUGUCUCACGCAAGUGACAGAUGGUGAGGCCACCAGAGGCCUGAAGAUGGGAAUAAUAUUGUUGAUUAAAAAGAAAUAUAGGAAACAACAUGCAGCUGUUGGCUACAAUACAGACGAGGGAAGACAAAAAAGAAAGAGGAAAGAGAGAAAAUAGGACUAGAUGGAGCUUGGGAACAAGUAUCAGUAAUGACACAAUUAAACUUGGCUGGUCCACACACAUUUGGAUUGGAGAUUGUUUGAACUGCCGAUAUGUGAAGUUUGGGGGUAGAGAUUUUAUUGUUUGACUGAUUUAUUCUUGGUGAGUCCUGCGGGAUUGGGAGUUGUGUUCCAGAUAUUUAUGAAAGUAGUUAUUUAUUUGGCUCUGUGCAGUCUGGUGUUCAGACCACCCUUCAAACAUGAACGCCCACCUGCAUAUGUUACGCUGUGUGCCUGUUUGUGCUCGUGUGUGAGGGGAAAAAAGAAAAGAGUCUUGAUGAUUUUUCAAGAGUGCCUAAGAUUUAGAUGGACUAAAACAUAUCAAUAUCUUCUGCCUUGUGUGCGUGAGCUGGUAAGUGUGAGGGUAAUUGUUUCCCAGAGCUCUUUGCUGGUAUCAAGGGAAAUUUAACACUUUUAAUGGCAAAUGCUGAUGCUGAGCUCUGUUCCUUUUUCUGCUAUGAGCAUCAAAGCCUGGAGUCACACUGCGAAGCCUCUUUUGCAUAGACUAAUGUAGUAAUUGUCUUUCUUAGGCAUCUUUCAAAGGACAGAAAACUUAAAGUCACAGCCAGAGAUCCAGUAUCUUUUUAGUUCACAUCCAUCAUAAAGCUGCUGACUCCACCAAUCCAAUUUAUGAUCCCCGUCAACACAAAUGUUACAAAAAGACUGAAAGUAUAGAAAUUUGUGACAAAGUAAACGGCAAAAUAAACAUAAAUUAAAGUCAUACAUCACCAGUUUGGUUAUUUUAAAUGGAGUACAGAUAAGUUUCAGUGAAAUCGCCACCCAGUCAGUUUAGGUGCAGGUUUAAUGGUUUAACACUGUAACGUUAUCUUUCCCGUGAACUAGGAAACACAGAACAGUAACAGGAAACAAUAAAUCUGCUCUACAGCCAUGAUUCAAUAACAGAAAGUCUUUGUAUCCUCCAAAUUCCUCUCUGAUGUUAUACAUUUCUGCAAUAGUAAUGUCCCUAAGACUGCAUGAAACCAGAGCUACUGUAUUUAUCAUUUAUGGAAUAAUAAGCAUGCACACUGGGCGUCAGCUGCGUUGUGCGUUGACUGGAUAAGAAGCAAAAUAAGCCAGUGUGAUCAGGGGAGGGAUCGAGUGAGAUUAAAAGAUUUAAGGCUCCAUUUGCCCAUGAAUAUCUGAUGCCUAUCUGAGGCGAGAGCCAGUGAUCCUCUGUCAGGUCGUGAGGUGUCAGAGGAAAUCUACCUUAUCUGCAUCUGGCCACUUUUCAACAGUUUCUUAUGUGAAUGUGCCGCCACAUUCCUGUUGUGCCGAAGAGUUAUGCAGCAGCUGUUUGCAUCAAAUGAAAACUGUUCCUCUCAUCUUAAA
Long non-coding RNA from Dicentrarchus labrax (European seabass), 1806 nucleotides. RefSeq lists it as uncharacterized. The record is from RefSeq and is a predicted model, not a curated record. The transcript is spliced from 2 exons. Lineage: Eukaryota; Metazoa; Chordata; Actinopteri; Moronidae.